UGGGGAAUUUUGGACAAUGGGCGAAAGCCUGAUCCAGCAAUGCCGCGUGUGUGAAGAAGGCCUUCGGGUUGUAAAGCACUUUUGUCCGGAAAGAAAUCCUCUGGGUUAAUACCUCGGGGGGAUGACGGUACCGGAAGAAUAAGCACCGGCUAACUACGUGCCAGCAGCCGCGGUAAUACGUAGGGUGCAAGCGUUAAUCGGAAUUACUGGGCGUAAAGCGUGCGCAGGCGGUUUUGUAAGACGGAUGUGAAAUCCCCGGGCUUAACCUGGGAACUGCAUUCGUGACUGCAAGGCUAGAGUAUGGCAGAGGGGGGUAGAAUUCCACGUGUAGCAGUGAAAUGCGUAGAGAUGUGGAGGAAUACCGAUGGCGAAGGCAGCCCCCUGGGCCAAUACUGACGCUCAUGCACGAAAGCGUGGGGAGCAAACAGGAUUAGAUACCCUGGUAGUCCACGCCCUAAACGAUGUCAACUAGUUGUUGGGGAUUCAUUUCCUUAGUAACGUAGCUAACGCGUGAAGUUGACCGCCUGGGGAGUACGGUCGCAAGAUUAAAACUUAAAUGAAUUGACGGGGUCAUAGCUGUUUCC
This 584-nucleotide ribosomal RNA is filed under the name uncultured bacterium. RNAcentral's name for it is "partial 16S ribosomal RNA". It matches the Rfam family "Bacterial small subunit ribosomal RNA", at positions 355 to 937 of the family's 1533-position model. The record is from RNAcentral.